GAUGAGCUAUUGUAAUAGUUAGCAAAGUACUCUCUUUAUUUCACAUGUUAUUCCUGUGGAUUACUUGCUCUUGUAGUUGCUGGCACUAUUUGUGCCCUGUGGAAUGUGUAUGUUUAGAAUUUAAAUUCCUGAGAAAUUCUUGUACACAUUCUUGUUGUGAGCCUUGGGCGGACAGGAGAGGUGUUGUCCGUUCGGCGGUCCCUCGUCGCGCCCGAAUCGUGCCAAAUUAGUAGUGGUUUCGGGGCGGGGCGUGACAGUCGUGUGGUAUCAGAGCCAUAAGAUCAAGUAAAGAGAGAAAGUCUAGGAUGACCUAGGAGACCCUAGGUUGGUAAGCCCUAAGGUUAUAGGUGCGUGAGCGGAACGUGAACCUAUAACGAUGGCGGAAGCUGAUUCGAUUGGGUCGAAGUUGGUAAUAUGUCUCUAGUUGUGACUAGAGAUGGAUUCAAGUGGUAUUAGUUCUUGAUUUGAGGUGGUUGUGUCGGCGGCCGACGACAUGAUGCCAAGAGUCUAGAAUGAGUACACUUGUGUGCUUCCGCCCGAUUUUGUUAUUGAGUUGUCAUGUGUCGUAAUUUCGACGAGGUAAUUGGUUAAGAUGACUGACCAAGUAUUUGCGUUUCAGGGACUAAUGUCUCCAAGACGCUACACACGUAGAUCUACUCUGGCACCGACUCCUGAGGUGCCCGAGCAGGAUGAACCGAGUGUGAUGGAUCGGUUGAAGGCGCAAAUGGCCGCAUUGACCAAUGUGGUGCAGUACCAGGAGACCCGAUUUGAGCGGCCCCAGUAGCUCUUGGAGCGGCAGGCUGCGGCGGCGGCCGCAACGGUGACGGAUGGACGCGAUGUGCCCGCACCCUCGACUCACGUACCUGAGCCAGCUGAGGGUGAGGGUAUAGCGGCGGUUCCGGUGGCGGCACGUCCCCCGCCGGCGAUUGUUUCUCCGGCGGCGUCGGGAUCGGCGACACCCGAUGUGAUGGCCGAAGACGCAGAAGGAGAGCGCGCGUUGGCGGCUCUUAUCAAGUUUAACAAGUUCCAUCCGCCUACUUUUGAGGGCGAGAAGGUGGAGCUGGCAAUGGUCGAGUCUUGGAUCGACUCGAUGGAAACCCUCUUCGAUGAUUUGCGUACCCUGGAGAGGGAUAAGGUGUACCUCGCCACCCAUUGCGUGGAGAAAGCGGCGAAGGUAUGGUGGAAGCGCGUCAAACGGGAUCGGCUUCCCGGCCUUCCGCCAAUGCUGUGGGAGGAAUUCAAGCGGGAGAUGUUCGCCAACUAUUUCCCCGAUACAUUGAAGUGGAAGCUCAAGGAGAAGUUCCGCAAGUUAGAGCAAGGGAACCUCUCAGUGGCGGAGUAUGAGCAAGAAUUCUCCCAUAUUAUAGAUUGUGUCCCGGAUGUUGUAAAGGAUGACCGGGAUCGGGCCGAGUGGUUCUUGCGAGGACUUCGGCCGGGAAUCUACAAGGCUGUGCAAAUACUCAAGCUCACGACCUUUGCGGAGGUCUUCGAUCGAGCGUUGUGGGCGGAGCACGGAGAUGCCCACAUUCGGGAGAAGCGUGAGCUUUUGGCCGAGUCCAAGGAUAAGGGCAAGAAACGCCAAGGCGGCGGUAGUUCAGGGGGACAAACACGUUACAAGAAACUCCCGAAGCAUCCGCGCACUCAACAGAAGGGCGGUGGAGCACGGUGAUGCAUUGUAUGCGGCGGAGACCACCCGGUCUCGCGCUGUGAGCAAGGCCGAGGCAAGUGCUACAAGUGUGGGCAACCGGGGCACUUCAUUCGGGACUGUCCGGGAGGAGGAGCCUCACCUGCCCCAUCGACUGCAUCGGCGCCGGCGAAUCCGGCUCACUAUGGAGGAGCUCCACCGGUGGCCGCGUCGACGGGACGUGCGAUGAUACCGCGUCAACCUGAAGUCACACAAUCAGCUCCGAGCGGUCGGGUAUUCGCCGCUCAGGUCCAAGCUGAGGAGUCUGCGGAGGUGGAGGAGCAUCGCCUUGUGGCAGGUAUGGUUUUAAUUAACGGAGUUCGCUCUAGGGCUUUAUUUGAUACAGGAGCCACGCAUUCAUUCAUAAGUAGAUCAUUCGCACGCAUGCAUGACAUUCUCAUAGAGCCGAGUGACAAAUGGCGAGUUGAGGGCCCUGGGUCGACGUUUAACACUUACUCGGAGUGUGCGUCGUGUCCAGUACAAGUGGGUGACUGGAUAAUGCCUAUUCGGACGCUAGAACUCAAGAAGCUCGAGGCUUAUGACAUCAUCUUGGGCAUGGACUGGCUCUCAAAAUAUCAUGCAACGAUCGACUGCAAGAGCAGAGUAAUUACAUUUCGUGAGCAAGGACAAAAGGAGUUCACAUAUCGGGCUUAUCAGAGCUCGUGCUUCGUCGCGACGGUGUCGGCGAAAAGAGCAAGGAAGUUGGUCAAUAGCGGUUGCACGGCAUUCUUAGCACUGUUGUGGAAGUGGAACGAGUGACUCUGACAUUGGAGGAGUUAUCAGUGGUACGGGAGUUCCCGGAUGUAUUUCCCGCGGAGUUGCCAGGGAUACCACUAGAUCGAAAAAUCGAGUUCGUCAUAGACUUGGUUCCGGGUACCGCACCGAUCUCGAAGACUCCGUACCGAAUGGCGCCGGCGGAACUGAAAGAGUUGAGGAGUCAAUUGCAAGACCUUCUCGACAAGCAAUUUAUACGGCCAAGUGUAUCACCGUGGGGAGCCCUGGUGCUUUUCGUAAAGAAGAAGGACGGAUCGUUUCGACUCUGCGUAGAUUAUCGAGAGUUGAACAGAGUCACGAUCAAGAACAAGUACCCACUACCCCGAAUCGAUGACCUGUUCGAUCAGUUGCAGGGGUCGUGUGUGUAUUCGAAGAUAGAUCUGUAAUCCGGCUAUCACCAGUUGAAAAUCAAGCCGGAGGAUGUGCAGAAAACUGCGUUUCAUACGCGGUAUGGGCACUAUGAAUUCGCAGUCAUGCCAUUUGGACUCACGAACGCUCCAGCGGCAUUUAUGGACUUGAUGAACCGUGUCUUCAGGAAGUUUUUAGAUCGAUUUGUCGUGGUCUUCAUAGACGACAUAUUGGUCUAUUCUCGUAGUGACGAGGAACAUGCCGAGCAUUUGAGAAUAGUGCUUCAAACCCUUCGAGAGGAGAAACUGUAUGCUAAGUUGAAGAAGUGUGACUUCUGGCUCCGAGAAGUCGCAUUUCUAGGGUAUGUGAUUUCCGCGGGUGGAGUUUCUGUAGACCCGAGGAAAGUUGAGGCAAUCAAGGAUUGGCCGCGCACGACGAAUGUCAUAGAGAUUCGAAGCUUCGUGGGCUUGGCGGGCUAUUAUAGGCGGUUUGUGGAAGGCUUUUCCAAGAUAGUGAUUCCACUUACCCGCCUGACUCAAAAAGGCACCAAGUUUGUAUGGAGCGAGGAGUGCAACCGGAGUUUCAAAGAGUUGAAGCAAAGAUUAACUUCGACUCCAGUGCUCGCUCUACCGGUGCAGGGCGAAGACUUCGUAGUCUACAGCGAUGCCUCCUAUCUUGAAUUGGGAUGUGUAUUGGUGCAAAACGGGAAGGUGAUUGCUUAUGCAUCCUGUCAGCUGAAGAGCUAUGAAAAGAAUUACUCCAUCCACGAUUUGGAGCUAGCGGCAGUAAUCUUCGCCUUGAAGUUGUGGUGGCACUACUUGUAUGGUGCCUAUUGUGAGAUUUACACCGACCACAAGAGUUUGAAAUAUCUAUUCACACAGAAAGAGCUCAACAUGAGACAGCGGCGGUGGUUAGAAUUGUUAAAGGACUAUGAUGUUGAUAUCCUUUACCACCCCGAGAAAGCAAAUGUGGUCGCAGAUGCACUGAGUAGGAAGUCAGCGGAGAACCUUGCCAUGUGGGUUACAAAUCAAUCACCAUUAUGGCUCGAUAUGGAGAGACUAGACCUCAAAGUAGUUACUCUCGAGACUCCAGCUCAGUUGAUGGCACUCGUUGUCCGACCGACCUUGUUUGAGAGGAUCAAAGAUCUGCAACCCGCAGACCCCGAGCUCCAAAAGGUGCGGCGAAACAUCGAGAAAGGGCAUGGCGGCGAUUUCAGUGUAGACGCCGAUAGUUCGCUUCGGUUUAGAAAUCGAUGGUGUGUGCCGAAGGAUGGAGAGCUUCGUGAAUUGAUUCUACAAGAAGCACACCGAUCUCCAUAUGCCGAUCACCUGGGCGGCACCAAGAUAUAUCAAGGACUAAAAAUGCACUACUGGUGGCCGGAAAUGAAAAGUGAUAUUGGACGCUUUGUGGCAAAGUGCUUAACAUGCUAACAAGUAAAGGACGAGCGUCGAUUUCCAGCGGGAAAGCUUCAAAGCCUACCAAUCUCCGUUUGGAAAUGGGAGGAUAUAUCGAUGGACUUCGUGGUCGGCUUGCCUCGCUCAACGGGCGGCCACGAUGCAAUUUGGGUAAUUGUGGACCGAUUGACGAAGUCGGCUCACUUCUUGCCGAUCCACACCACGUGGUCGAGUGACAAGUUAGCGCAGGUAUAUCUCGACGAGAUAGUGAGACUGCAUGGGGUGCCGAAAUCGAUCGUGUCGGAUUGUGACCCCCGGUUCACUUCACACUUCUGGAAGAGCCUGCAGGAAGCCCUUGGCACACGGCUCAACUUUAGCACCGCAUUUCAUCCUCAGACCGAUGGGCAAACAAAGAGAACCAUACAAACUCUGGAGGAUAUGUUGCGAGCGUGUGUCAUCUACUAUAAGGGAAGUUGGUGUAAUCACCUACCUAUGGCCGAGUUCGUCUACAACAACAGUUAUCAUGCUAGUGUGGAGAUGGCACCGGUCGAGGCUCUUUAUGGGCGGACGUGUCGGUCUCCUAUACACUGGAGCGAUGUGGGUGAGCGUGCAGAGUUCGGCCCCGAUGUGUUGCGAGAAGCGGAGGAGAAAGUCCGCCUUGCUCGCAAAAGAUUGCUCACGGCGCAGUCGAGACAGCAAAGCUAUGCAGAUAGGCGCCGACGAGAUAUAGAGUUCGCGGUGGGCGACCGCGUAUUCUUGAAGGUUUUCACCGAUGCGGGGUGUGAAGCAGUUUGGAGUAUGGAGAAAAUUGAGUCCCCGAUAUAUUGGACCCUAUGAAAUAUUGGAGCGAGUUGGCACGGUGGCUUACGACUCGCUUUGCCGCCGAAGCUCGCGGAUGUACACAAUGUGUUCCAUGUCUCCAAUCUCCACAAGUUUAUUCACGACCCCAAGCACGCAAUGCUAUAUGAGCCGCCGGAACUUCAAGGAGACUUGAGUUAUGAAGAGUUUCCGGUGAGGCUAAUUGCACGAGAGGUGCGAAAGUUGAGAAAUCGAGAAAUUCCCUACGUGAAGGUUAGGUGGAGCAAUCAUGAUGAUCGCGAGGCCACCUGGGAACUCGAGAAUCUGAUGAGAAGACACCACCCUCAUCUGUUUGAGGAGUGAGGUAAAAAUUUAAGUUAGAGUAAAGAAUCGAGUUAGUUUUGAGGACGAAACUCUUUUUAAGGAGAGGAGGAUGUAAGGAAGUGAAUUCUCGAAAUCCGAGACUUGUACUUCGUCCAGUAUCGACUAUUUGUCGAGAGAAUACCCUUUGGGGAAGUUAAAGAUGUCCAAAGCACAAAAAGUGUGUUGGAGUUGAGUCCGCGAGAGCAUAUAGUGCAAAACCUGCACUGGGCUGAAGUUGCUCUCUGUAAGGUAUCGAAAAUUCGACGAAAACGGCUAACUUUGGCACAAUGGACCAAAGUGAGCAAUUGAAUGUUUGGACAAGUUCCAUUCGGUAUUUCAACAUGUUUGGGAGAGUAAAAAUGAGUUCCAAAAGUGUUGGAAUAGUUUUAGCGUUGUUGGACGCGAAAAGAAAUCGAAGCAGAUCGAAAAACAGCAUUCUUGCGCUGUUGUACCGGUACAAGGUUGAUGCUGUACCGGUACAACCAUCGCGGAACAGUGCCUGAUGGCUGUACCGGUACAAGGGCCUUGUACCGGUACAAAACCCGCGCGACCGAGCAACCCGAGCCUCGGGUUUGCUCUCUGUUUCGCUGUUACGCAGGGCUUGUACCGGUACAAGACCCCGUGUACCGGUACAAGGGCGCGGCAGCAGCGGGUUAAGUUGCAAAAUCUGAUAAAAGGAGGGCUUUUUAGCAUAUUGUUACAAUAGAGGACUUAUUCCUCUCACACUCAGCUCUCUCCUCUCUCACUCUCAUAACCUCUCUCUCUCUAGCUCCCUCUCUCUGUCUAACCGGUUGAAGAAGAGAAGAAGAAAAGAGAAGAGAAGAAGAAAAGAGAAGGAAGAAAAGGAAGAGAAGAUCAAGGAGAAGAAGAUAAAGCUCCUUUCUCUCCUCUCCAUCAAGCUUGGGCCUUCUUUGGAGCAAAACCUAAGGUAAGCUCUAACCCUAGUUUUUGGAUUUCUAGGGUUUAGGGGUUUUUGUUGGUUUUAACGGUUCAAAUGAACCUAAUAAGCUUAGAGAACAUGGAUUUAGCUCACAAUGAAGCUAGAAAC
This 6409-nucleotide long non-coding RNA is filed under the name Ananas comosus (pineapple). RNAcentral describes it as "long non-coding RNA (ACOM_LNC040327)". The record is from RNAcentral. Lineage: Eukaryota; Viridiplantae; Streptophyta; Magnoliopsida; Poales; Bromeliaceae.